This 453-nucleotide ribosomal RNA is filed under the name Pseudomonas aeruginosa. RNAcentral describes it as "bacterial SSU rRNA". It matches the Rfam family "Bacterial small subunit ribosomal RNA", at positions 273 to 718 of the family's 1533-position model. The record is from RNAcentral. Lineage: Bacteria; Pseudomonadati; Pseudomonadota; Gammaproteobacteria; Pseudomonadales; Pseudomonadaceae.
GCGACGAUCCGUAACUGGUCUGAGAGGAUGAUCAGUCACACUGGAACUGAGACACGGUCCAGACUCCUACGGGAGGCAGCAGUGGGGAAUAUUGGACAAUGGGCGAAAGCCUGAUCCAGCCAUGCCGCGUGUGUGAAGAAGGUCUUCGGAUUGUAAAGCACUUUAAGUUGGGAGGAAGGGCAGUAAGUUAAUACCUUGCUGUUUUGACGUUACCAACAGAAUAAGCACCGGCUAACUUCGUGCCAGCAGCCGCGGUAAUACGAAGGGUGCAAGCGUUAAUCGGAAUUACUGGGCGUAAAGCGCGCGUAGGUGGUUCAGCAAGUUGGAUGUGAAAUCCCCGGGCUCAACCUGGGAACUGCAUCCAAAACUACUGAGCUAGAGUACGGUAGAGGGUGGUGGAAUUUCCUGUGUAGCGGUGAAAUGCGUAGAUAUAGGAAGGAACACCAGUGGCGA